GACGAACGCUGGCGGCGUGCUUAACACAUGCAAGUCGAACGGAAAGGCCCUGCUUUUGUGGGGUGCUCGAGUGGCGAACGGGUGAGUAACACGUGAGUAACCUGCCCUUGACUUUGGGAUAACUUCAGGAAACUGGGGCUAAUACCGGAUAGGAGCUCCUGCUGCAUGGUGGGGGUUGGAAAGUUUCGGCGGUUGGGGAUGGACUCGCGGCUUAUCAGCUUGUUGGUGGGGUAGUGGCUUACCAAGGCUUUGACGGGUAGCCGGCCUGGGAGGGUGACCGGCCACAUUGGGACUGAGAUAGGGCCCAGACGCCUACGGGAGGCAGCAGUGGGGAAUAUUGCGCAAUGGGCGGAAGCCUGAUGCAGCAACGCCGCGUGCGGGAUGACGGCCUUCGGGUUGUAAACCGCUUUCGACUGUGACGAAGCGUGAGUGACGGUAAUGGGUAAAGAAGCACCGGCUAACUACGUG
Molecule: ribosomal RNA, 468 nt
Filed under: uncultured bacterium
Lineage: Bacteria
Description: partial 16S ribosomal RNA
Rfam family: Bacterial small subunit ribosomal RNA
Source: RNAcentral